AUGCAGUGCAAGUGUGAGACCGUGUGCCAAGAGCAAGCCAAUUCACUGAAGAGCUCGGCUUCUCAUAACCGAGACCUGCAUCUUCACCAGGAUGAACAUGUGCCUGUCGUUAUUGGACUUAUGCCUGGGGACUACAUUCAGUAGACUGUGCCUUUAGAUGAGGGGAUGUAUCCUUUGGAAGGAUCACGUAGCUGUUGUAUCGACAGUUCUUCUCCCGUGGAAGUCUCUGUGGUUCCUCCUCAAGUGGGAGGGUGCUGUUUCCCUGAAGUCGAGAGUCAGGUAGACCAGGACCUAGUUGUUGCCCCAGAGAUCUUUGUGGAUCAGUCAGUGAAUGGCUUGUUGAUUGGCACCACAGGAGUCAUGUUGCAGAGCCUGAGAGCGGGUCACAAUGAUGUCCCUCCACGCCCACCAUUGCUACCUCCAGUGCAGAAUAAUCAAAUCCAAAGGAACUUCAGUGGACUUAACUGGCACAGAGGCCCACAUGACUGAAUGUAUGUUCUGUUAUUAUUUUGAUCUUAACUCUGUUUGUGGGAUUGCAAGAGUUUGCUUCAGUGCAAAGUAGUGGUCCCAUGCUUGUGUCAAGCCUCACAGGGGAGCUGAAAAAACUUGUAAAACAAGGAUGGUACUGGGGACCAAUCACAUGUUGGGAGGCAGAAGGGAGCCUAGCAAACGUGCCAGAUGGUUCUUUACUUGUCUGGGACAGUUCUGACGACGUUACCCUUUAAGCUUGAGCUUCUGACCCUACGGUAAAACAUUUCACACUAGAAUUGAGUGCUCAAAUGGUAGAUUUAGCUUUUAUUAACAGCCAGAUGUGGAAGGACAUAGGUCCAUAGUUGAUCUAAUUGAGCAUUCAAUCAGGGACUCCGAAAAUAGGGCUUUUUGUUAUUCAAGGUCUGGGCUGCCUGGAUCUGCAAUUUACCCAGUCAGACUCACCAACCCAGUGUCCUGGUUCAUGCAGGUGUGCUCCCUGCAGUACCUGUGUCGUUGUGUUAUAUGUUAGUAUACCAGGAUAGACUUAAUUCAGAAACUGCCUUUGCCAAACAAAAUGAAGGAUUAUUUACAGGAGAAGCACUACUGAAAGAAUGAGAACACUGCAUCUUGCAUUUUGGGAAUAAGAAAAAGAAAUUGAAAUACAGUUUACAAACUUUCAUUGCCAUCAAAACCUUUUGCUGCCAUAACCAUUUCAGUUUUAUGUGUAAAAGAGUCAUCAGUUUGUUUAGGGGUGGGGAAGUGUCAGCAAGGUGUCUUGGAUUUCUUUUGGUUCUUUAAAAAGGGAAGUCGAGGUUUUAAAGGUGUGAAUUAUAUUUCAUCAAUGUGCGGAAUAAUCACAAUGUGAAUUAUCAAAUUCUCCUCAGUACCCCCCGCCCAGUCCUUUGCUGCUAUCUGCUGUGAUUUUUAUGCAUUAAAGGCACAUUUCAUGUGUAUUCAACCCUAAGUAAAGUUGAGUGAAACUUACAGAAUGGAAAUUACUAUGUCUUUUUAAAUGGCCCGUUUUCAAAAGAUAGUGUUGAAUAAACAUACCUGUGUGAUAAAACACAGAAUUUACAUAUA
Molecule: RNA transcript, 1551 nt
Organism: Cebus imitator (Panamanian white-faced capuchin)
Lineage: Eukaryota; Metazoa; Chordata; Mammalia; Primates; Cebidae
Gene name: suppressor of cytokine signaling 6-like
Exons: 2
Source: RefSeq, a predicted model, not a curated record